RNAcentral lists this non-coding RNA (173 nucleotides) under Dorea phocaeensis. The record is from RNAcentral. Lineage: Bacteria; Bacillati; Bacillota; Clostridia; Lachnospirales; Lachnospiraceae.
AAAGAUACAGGUUCUGUAUGUUACAGAUGAAAAGGGAAUGCGGUGAAAAGCCGCAGCAGCUCACUCUACUGUAAGGGAUAGCGAACGCCAAAGACCACUGCCCAAAUAAAGUAUGGCGGGAAGGUGGCAAGUAGAUAAGAAACCCAAGCCAGGAGACCUGCCUGUAAUUAUUG